GACGAACGCUGGCGGCGUGCCUAAUACAUGCAAGUAGAACGCACAGUUUAUACCGUAGCUUGCUACACCAUAGACUGUGAGUUGCGAACGGGUGAGUAACGCGUAGGUAACCUGCCUGGUAGCGGGGGAUAACUAUUGGAAACGAUAGCUAAUACCGCAUAAUAUUAAUUAUUGCAUGAUAAUUAAUUGAAAGGUGCAAUUGCACCACUACCAGAUGGACCUGCGUUGUAUUAGCUAGUAGGUGAGGUAACGGCUCACCUAGGCGACGAUACAUAGCCGACCUGAGAGGGUGAUCGGCCACACUGGGACUGAGACACGGCCCAGACGCCUACGGGAGGCAGCAGUAGGGAAUAUUCGGCAAUGGACGAAAGUCUGACCGAGCAACGCCGCGUGAGUGAAGAAGGUUUUCGGAUCGUAAAGCUCUGUUGUAAGAGAAGAACGGGUGUGAGAGUGGAAAGUUCACACUGUGACGGUAUCUUACCAGAAAGGGACGGCUAACUACGUG
Molecule: ribosomal RNA, 505 nt
Filed under: uncultured bacterium
Lineage: Bacteria
Description: partial 16S ribosomal RNA
Rfam family: Bacterial small subunit ribosomal RNA
Source: RNAcentral